This 1015-nucleotide ribosomal RNA is filed under the name Acidianus sp. Acii18. RNAcentral's name for it is "bacterial SSU rRNA". It matches the Rfam family "Archaeal small subunit ribosomal RNA", at positions 28 to 1016 of the family's 1478-position model. The record is from RNAcentral. Lineage: Archaea; Thermoproteati; Thermoproteota; Thermoprotei; Sulfolobales; Sulfolobaceae.
CGCUAUGGGGGUAGGGCUAAGCCAUGGGCAGUCGUACGCCCUCGGGCUAAGAGGGCGUGGUGGACGGCUGAGUAACACGUGGCUAACCUACCCUCGGGGCCCGGAUAACUCCGGGAAACUGGAGCUAAUCCGGGACAGGCGAAGGGUACUGGAAUGUCCCUUCGCCUAAAGGGGCAUGGGCUAUUUCCCGCUCAUGCCCGCCCGAGGAUGGGGCUGCGGCCCAUCAGGCUGUUGGCGGGGUAACGGCCCGCCAAACCGAUAACGGGUAGGGGCCGUGAGAGCGGGAGCCCCCAGUUGGGCACUGAGACAAGGGCCCAGGCCCUACGGGGCGCACCAGGCGCGAAUCGUCCCCAAUGCGGGAAACCGUGAGGGCGCUACCCCCAGUGCUCCCGAAAGGGAGCUUUUCCCCGCUUUAAAACGGCGGGGGAAUAAACGGGGGGCAAGACUGGUGUCAGCCACCGCGGUAAUACCAGCCCCGCGAGUGGCCGGGACGCUUACUGGGCUUAAAGCGACCGUAGCCGGCCCCUGCAAGUCACUGCUUAAAGAUCCGGGCUCAACCCGGGGAAGGUGCAGUGAUACUGCAUGGCCUAGGGGGCGGGAAAGAGUCGGAAGUACUCCCGGAGUUAGAGGCGAAAUCCACAGAUCCCGGGAGGACCACCAGUGGCGAAAGCGUCCGGCCAGAACCGCGCCCGACGGUGAGGGCCGAAACCCGGGUAGCAAAAGGGAUUAGAUACCCCUGUAGUCCCGGCUGUAAACGAUGCAGGCUAGGUGUCGCGUAGGCUUUGAGCCUACGCGGUGCCGCAGGGAAACCGGUAAGCCUGCCGCCUGGGGAGUACGACCGCAAGGGUGAAACUUAAAGGAAUUGGCGGGGGAGCACCACAAGGGGUGGAACCUGCGGCUCAAUUGGAGUCAACGCCUUGGAAUCUCACCGGGGGAGACCGCAGGAUGACGUCCAGGCUAACGUCCUUGCCAGACUCGCGGAGAUGAGAUGCAUGACCGUCGACAGCUCGUGUUG